RNAcentral lists this ribosomal RNA (229 nucleotides) under uncultured bacterium. RNAcentral's name for it is "partial 16S ribosomal RNA". It matches the Rfam family "Bacterial small subunit ribosomal RNA", at positions 568 to 796 of the family's 1533-position model. The record is from RNAcentral.
UGCGUAGGCGGAUUAAUAAGUCAGUGGUGAAAACCUGCAGCUUAACUGUAGACUUGCCAUUGAUACUGUUAGUCUUGAGUACGGUCAAGGUAGGCGGAAUGUGCAAUGUAGCGGUGAAAUGCUUAGAUAUUACACAGAACACCGAUUGCGAAGGCAGCUUACUGGGCCAUUACUGACGCUGAGGCACGAAAGCGUGGGGAGCGAACAGGAUUAGAUACCCUGGUAGUCC